GAUGAACGCUGGCGGCGUGCCUAAUACAUGCAAGUCGAGCGAACAGACGAGGAGCUUGCUCCUCUGACGUUAGCGGCGGACGGGUGAGUAACACGUGGAUAACCUACCUAUAAGACUGGGAUAACUUCGGGAAACCGGAGCUAAUACCGGAUAAUAUAUUGAACCGCAUGGUUCAAUAGUGAAAGACGGUUUUGCUGUCACUUAUAGAUGGAUCCGCGCCGCAUUAGCUAGUUGGUAAGGUAACGGCUUACCAAGGCAACGAUGCGUAGCCGACCUGAGAGGGUGAUCGGCCACACUGGAACUGAGACACGGUCCAGACUCCUACGGGAGGCAGCAGUAGGGAAUCUUCCGCAAUGGGCGAAAGCUUGACGGAGCAACGCAGCGUGGGUGAUGAAGGUCUUCGGAUCGUAAAACUCUGUUAUUAGGGAAGAACAAAUGUGUAAGUAACUAUGCACGUCUUGACGGUACCUAAUCAGAAAGCCACGGCUAACUACGUG
Molecule: ribosomal RNA, 497 nt
Filed under: uncultured bacterium
Lineage: Bacteria
Description: partial 16S ribosomal RNA
Rfam family: Bacterial small subunit ribosomal RNA
Source: RNAcentral